UGUUGAUAAUCCUUACAACUGCAGGUCUCAUCAGAGUGCGUCUAAGAAGAAACCUGACAUAUUUGUGUAGAAAAGUGUUUGGGUGGAGAGACAUAGAUUGAGAGAGAGACAGG
Long non-coding RNA from Cebus imitator (Panamanian white-faced capuchin), 113 nucleotides. RefSeq lists it as uncharacterized. Lineage: Eukaryota; Metazoa; Chordata; Mammalia; Primates; Cebidae. The transcript is spliced from 3 exons. The record is from RefSeq and is a predicted model, not a curated record.